GAUGAACGCUGGCGGCGUGCCUAAUACAUGCAAGUCGAGCGAACGGAUCAGAAGCUUGCUCCCCUGAUGUUAUCGGCGGACGGGUGAGUAACACGUGGAUAACCUACCUAUAAGACUGGGAUAACUUCGGGAAACCGGAGCUAAUACCGGAUAAUAUUUUGAACCUCAUGGGUCAAAAGUGAAAGACGGUCUUUCUGUCACUAAUAGAUGGAUCAGCGCUGCAUUAGCUAGUUGGUGAGGUAACGGCUUACCAAGGCAACGAUGGAUAGCCGACCUGAGAGGGUGAUCGGCCACACGGGAACUGAGACACAGUAGAGACACUGAGGGGAGGCAGCGGUAGAGAAUCUUACGCAAUGGAGGAAAGCCUAACAGAGCAACACCGCGUGAGUCAUGAAGGUCUUCGGAUCGUAAAACUAUGUUAUUAGGGGAGAACAUAUGUGUAAGUAACUGUGCACAUCUUGACGGUACCUAAUCAGAAAGCCACGGCUAACUACGUG
RNAcentral lists this ribosomal RNA (497 nucleotides) under uncultured bacterium. RNAcentral describes it as "partial 16S ribosomal RNA". It matches the Rfam family "Bacterial small subunit ribosomal RNA", at positions 28 to 507 of the family's 1533-position model. The record is from RNAcentral.